Delphinapterus leucas (beluga whale) is the source of this 2304-nucleotide non-coding RNA. Lineage: Eukaryota; Metazoa; Chordata; Mammalia; Artiodactyla; Monodontidae. The record is from RefSeq and is a predicted model, not a curated record.
CCUUGGUAGGGAGGGGAGAGUGCCUCUGUCAGCUGAUAGGAUCCCCACUGGGUCCGUUCCUCGGGGCGAUUUACCGGGGACCAACCUACGGGAGCGCGCGGGCAGUAACCCGCCGCGGAAUUCUUGUGUGCUGUAGUCGAGCACGAGAGUGAUGGAGGAGCGUCUAGAGGCUGGGAAGGAGAGCAAGGACCGACUCAUGCUGGUUUGAUGGGGAAGAAGGAAGGACGUUAGGAAUUGAGAAGGGGCUGGAAUACCCUCCUCCUAUCCCAAGCCCUCCUCCAUGUCCCCGGACCUGCAGGGAGACAGCUCCUUACAGGUGGAGAUCUCUGAUGCCGUCAGAGGAGUUCAUCUGGCUACACAAUGUCUACGUGGAAAACGAGGAGUACGCUGGUCUCAUUAUCCCCCCAGCCCCUCCAAGGCCAGACUUUGAGGCUUCAAGGGAGAAACUGCAGAAGUUGGGUGAGGGAGACAGCUCUAUCACGCGGGAAGAGUUUGCCAAAAUGAAGGAGGAACUGGAAGCGGAGUAUCUGGCCAUCUUUAAGAAGACAGUUGCGAUGCAUGAAGUCUUUCUGCAGCGCCUGGCGGCCCACCCCACCCUGCGUCGAGACCACAACUUCUUUGUCUUUUUGGAAUAUGGCCAGGAUCUGAGUGUCCGAGGAAAGAACAGGAAGGAGCUCCUUGGGGGGUUUCUGAGGAAUAUUGUGAAGUCUGCAGAUGAAGCCCUCAUCACUGGCAUGUCAGGGCUCAAGGAGGUGGAUGACUUCUUCGAGCAUGAGAGGACCUUCCUGCUGGAGUACCACACCCGCAUCCGGGACGCCUGCCUUUGGGCAGACCGAGUCAUGCACUCUCACAAGUACCGAGGGGCCCUGACAGACGGCUCUUCCCGUGCAGACCGAGGGGCCCUGACAGACGGCUCUUCCCGUGCAGACCGAGGGGCCCUGACAGACGGCUCUUCCCGUGCAGACCGAGGGGCUCUGACAGACAGCUCUUCCCGUGCAGGCCUGGCAUAUGAUUAUAUCCCCACCUCAGCUGCACUGAGCAGUCUGGGAACACAAGAAGUCAACCAGCUAAAGACGAGCUUCCUCAAAUUGGCAGAGCUCUUUGAACGACUAAGGAAACUGGAGGGCCGAGUGGCUUCUGACGAGGACCUGAAGCUGUCGGACAUGCUGAGGUACUACGUGCGCGACUCACAGGCAGCCAAGGGAUCCUGUGCCCCUGCCGGCCCCAGGACCUGCUGUACCGGCGGCUGCGGGCGCUGGCAGACUAUGAGAACGCCAACAAGGCACUGGACAAGGCGCGCACCAGGAACCGGGAGGUGCGGACCGCCGAGAGCCACCAGCAGCUGUGCUGCCAGCGCUUUGAACGCCUCUCCGACUCAGCCAAGCAGGAGCUCAUGGACUUCAGAUCCCGCCGCGUCUCCUCCUUCCGCAAGAACCUCAUCGAGCUGGCGGAGCUGGAGCUCAAACACGCUAAGGCCAGCACCCUGCUUCUCCGGAACACCCUUGUCACCCUCAAGGGGGAACCUUAGAGCCACCAGAGUGCCCCCCGACCUCCCACCCCAGCAAGAUGCCUCCUUCCCCACCCCAGGAGCCACUCACCAUGCCCCGUGACUUCUCGGGGCAAGGCCUACCCCUACCCCAAGGUGCCAGGCCCUGCAAGAUAAGGCAGCAUGGGCACCACACUUGGCCACAGGAAGGUGGAGCCCGAAACACCUGGGUCUGAAGUCCUGGACUCCACCUGGCUGGCCCCACCCUGGCCCCCAGCCACAUCUGCAGAAGGCCAAAGACUCAACCUGGCUUCGGACUCACAGCAGCCACUGGACCCAGCCCUCAUAAAUGAGUCAGCCAUCCAAGGGAGAGAGCAGAGCAAAGACCAAAUACUGAAGGUGGAGAAAAAGCUCAAGAAGCAACCAGUAACUUGUAGUCUCGGGGCCCACAUCUGGGAAAGACUGCACAGGGGAUCACAGAAUGGGCCUCACUGUCCUACUGCCCACCUGGGUCAAGGCAACAGAAGAAACCAGUUCAGGGAUUAAGCCCCUCUGUUCAAGGAACCCCUGCAGCCAGCAGCAGACACACCCUGGCUCAGCUACCUUCCAGGCUGGUGCCAACUAUGACGCCAGGAUAUAGAGAGGAAACUGUCAGAAAGGAGGCUCAGCUAGUCACUGGCACCAAAUGAGGGUGUGUGGGGCUGGUUGGAGGGAGGGUUAGGGAAGAGAUGCUGCACAUUCUCCCAGCCUACCCGCCCCCAAGGUCCCCCGCGCCCCAACCUCGAAACAAACAUCCCAUUAGUGAGCCUUUUUAUUGU